UACGUAGGGGGCAAGCGUUGUCCGGAUUUAUUGGGCGUAAAGAGCGUGUAGGCGGCUAGGUAGGUCCGUUGUGAAAACUCGAGGCUCAACCUCGAGACGUCGAUGGAAACCAUCUGGCUAGAGUCCGGAAGAGGAGAGUGGAAUUCCUAGUGUAGAGGUGAAAUUCGUAGAUAUUAGGAAGAACACCAGUGGCGAAGGCGGCUCACUGGCCCGGUACUGACGCUGAGGCGCGGAAGCGUGGGGAGCAAACAGG
Molecule: ribosomal RNA, 253 nt
Filed under: uncultured bacterium
Lineage: Bacteria
Description: partial 16S ribosomal RNA
Rfam family: Bacterial small subunit ribosomal RNA
Source: RNAcentral